This 494-nucleotide long non-coding RNA is filed under the name Olea europaea subsp. europaea. Lineage: Eukaryota; Viridiplantae; Streptophyta; Magnoliopsida; Lamiales; Oleaceae. The record is from RNAcentral.
GAAGCUUUAUUCUUCUUGCUUUGCUUUGCUCUACUUUUCUUUAAAACUCCAAUCAGUUUCCUUCACAGACGCGCUAUCAGAGAGAAAUGAGAAUCUGGGAUUUCCUCAAGUCAAGCACAGAAGCAGUGAAGCGAAAUGUACUGGAUUUUAGUCCGGUUCGGGUGAAGACUGAAGAACGCCUUCCGAACCUCUUACAAUUACGGAUCCGCCGCCUGCACCAAGAUCGUUAAUGUCAUCGUAGGAAACAACCUCCAAAAGCUCAACCAGUGGUGUCUGGACGAUGUGGCCAAAUCUAAGAUCGGUAUCUUUGCUACAAGAUGUGCUAAAACUUUUGCCCUCAAUGCACUCUACGGGAGUUACAGAUAUUAUCCCGGUUUGCUUCCAUCUCAUAUACCACAGUUUCGUUUUAUUUUUUGUUUAUACUUUACCGAAAGGGAAAGACUGAGUAUUUUAUAUUUGCAUUUUAAUUUAAUCUUAAAAUGUCAACAAUAAGA